GAGUUGCGAUGUGUAUUGCAGCGCAGUGCAGCGGCGGCCGGAGCAGUAGAGAAGGUGCUGGGGGUGGGGGGGAUUGAUUGGCGUCAGGAAGGGGAGACCCAUGGAUUUUUGGGUCUGAGACAGGAAUACAGAGUUGGGUCAGCAGGAAGAAUUAUUUGAUGGUGGCAGCACCAAGUAGCCCAUUCUUCUGCACUGUUCCCCAUCCUUUUGCUCCUGUCUUCCUCCAUCAUGCUGUAGCUGCCGGCUAUCCUUUGCCUCCUCAAUGACUGCCUGGAUUAUUCUUCCUGUCAGCCUGUCUGCCUUUUCCAUCACAGGAAUAUGGAUUGUGUAUGCUAUGGCUGUGAUGAACCAUCAUGUUUGUCCAGUAGAGAACUGGUCUUAUAAUGUGACUUGUUCUGAGGAUACCUCUAAACGUGGAUUCCCAAAAAGCUGUUGUACAAUCCAGGAUAUACCUCUCAUUAGCAAGUGUGGCUCAUUUCCUCCAGAAAGCUGUCUCUUCAGUCUAAUUGGAAAUGUUGGAGCAUUCAUGGUGGUCAUGGUCUGUAUGCUUCGAUAUGCUCAGGUCAUUGAAAGAAGUCGCCGCUCCUGGAUAAACACUAUGGGGCUGAUUACUGGCUGCACUAACGCUCUUGGGUUGGUAAUGGUUGGCAACUUUCAGGUGGACCAUGCCAAGUCUCUACAUUACAUUGGAGCAGGAGUUGCCUUUCCAGCUGGACUGCUGUUUGUAGGCCUGCAGUGUGUGCUUACUUAUCGUAUUGCCAUGACGGCUCUGGACUACUGGAUGGCACAUUUGCGUGUUGCUCUCACCAUUGUGGCCUUAUUUUCAUUGGUUCUAAGUGGCAUCUUUUUCAUUCAUGAAAGCUUCCUGCUCCAGCAUGCUGCUGCCGUAUGUGAAUGGAUCUUCACUGUUGACAUCCUGGUAUUCUAUGGGACUUUUACGUACGAGUUUGGUGCUGUCACCAAUGAUACAAUGGUAGUUGGACUGCAGCACCGAGGGCCAGUGAGUGCCAGCAAGGCCUGCAAAUCUCCAGGGAGUAGUAGUACCUCAACACAACUCAACUGCAACCCAGAGAGUAUUGCCAUGUUAUAAUUGCCAUGUAGAAGAAAGACUGUCAUAGGCAACAAACUUGGGCAUAUCCUAAAACACCUUUCAAAGUUAAUAAUUGAAAGGUAGCUGGGAUGUAGAUGCAGAGGCUUCUGUCUUUCAGAGUAGUUAGAUGGGAGCCCAUCAAGAGUCUUCUGAUAGAUGCAGUGCUGUGAAAAGGUCACAAAAAAACAAUUCCAUCCAGUAUGGCAGUGGCGCGUGGUUUAGAAACUGGAUGGGUGGAUCUGACUGACGCCUCAGUGAAAUGAGAUUUUCUGUCACAUCAUUGUCCUGCUGCAUCGACUCGCUAAAGUGCCAACACCAGAAAAAAGUCUGCACAGGACCUGUGAGUGGUCAAAGCUCCAUAACAUUAAGGCAAUUUCUACAUCAAGUUUGGGAGUUAUAAAUCCCAAGUUUUCAAUAAGAAGUGGUUUAUAUACAUUUACAAGUGUAAGUAUUUUUUAUACACAAGUCCACACAUUAACAUUGUCUUAUGGGAAGUAUUUUCUGCAAAAAAGGAGUAAUUUGUGAAACUUUUUUAAGUAAAAUCCCCCUUUCAUCUUUUCAUUUUCCAUACUUAUCUUGGUGUGUCAGUGUCAUAAUUAAAAUGAAAAUGCAAUCUCCACUUUAGAUUUGCUUUUUCUUCCUGAAGUGCAUAAUAACCGCUAAGAUGAAAAUUUAAUAUUUUCUAUUAAGUCACAUAUUGCAGUCUUAGCCACGCCCAUUGACCCUGUGCUAAUUUAAAAUAUAUUUGCACGUUGAGAACUUGAAACUGUAAUGAGCAGCAGGUGGCACCAGUGCUUAUUUCCAUUUGGCUUUUCAUUUUUGCAGCUUUAUUGCUGUUCAGGCUUGCGGCUGAUUUGGCCCUUUUUGGGUUUUCGUUCAAAUUUUGUCACACAUACACUGCAAACCUAAUAGACAAGAAAAUACUGAAUUUUCAUUAUAGCA
Molecule: RNA transcript, 2032 nt
Organism: Polypterus senegalus (gray bichir)
Lineage: Eukaryota; Metazoa; Chordata; Cladistia; Polypteriformes; Polypteridae
Gene name: transmembrane protein 150A-like
Exons: 10
Source: RefSeq, a predicted model, not a curated record